ACUCUCACCCGCCGGAGCAACUGGUGGAAGUCAAGAAAAGUCUCUCGGGGCUGGGGGAGGGGAUUGUAGGGGUGUGUGUGACAGAGGCCUCAAAAAUCUGGCUGGGGGUGCUAAGGCAAGCCCAUCUGCGCACUGUGCCCUGAGGUGCAAGAGGAUGCAGGGUGGAAGUCGUCCCAAGAGAGUCCAGGGAUCAAGUGGGCAUGCCCUUUUAGCCUUGGCACGAAAUGGAGCAGAAAAAGAGCCGGAUGCGGAUUACUGUGGUGCCCUAGGCUCAGAUUCUGCUGAGUCACUGUGACUGCGGAUUUGGAAGGCUGAGAGUCCUGGGGAGACAUGCUCCGUGGAGACGAAUUUGUUUCUUCCUUUGCAAGAUUCAGAUUCUGCACUUGGGGGCCCAUACAACACACUUCCCUGGGUGCAUGCCACUGCACCACCCCUGCUCCUCAAGGCAGGCGCUCCGGUGCUCACAGGCCAUGGGACAGUCCAGUUCCCUGCAGACCCAGCGGGGCAUGGGCGGACAGAGCCGCACCGUGAAGCCCGCCUGUUAUUUCCAUCGGGUGGUCCUGGAGACGACACGGCUGGGGAAAUGGGUCACCGGAACUCCACGGCGGCCAGACGCCCAUCCAAUUUGCCUGCGGGAACUCGCUCUUCACCUUUUCUUCACAAACUUCUUUCUGGAAGCGUUGGGAUUUAAGCGUCUCCGCCCAGCUCCCAAGGUGCUGUCCCGGACCUGCAGGGUAGCUGAGCGGCUGGAGAUGUCAUUCUCGACAAAGGGUGACACCCCGGCGAUGUAGUCAGGGGCGAACACGUUGGUUUUCUGCCUGGCCUUUUGGGAGAGUCGCAGCUGAGGGAAGCGCUGAUCCUCGGUGAGAUGGGGGUUGAUGGCGUAUUUGCCCCCUUUGGGAGUGGGAAGCGAGUACUGGAAAUAAGACAAGGAAGGGCCAUUAGAAGAAGGGGAGCCACAGUCACACAAGGCCAUGGCUGGUAAGGUGCAGCCGACCUUGCAGAUCCUGGUGCAGGCAGAUGACAGCGGGUGGUAAUUGACUGCCUACCAUGUGCUACGUGUGACAUGCCGCCGCCUCCCACCUGAUUCCCACCUCAAUUCACACACGAAAAACCGAACACGGUAUUUUGACUACAUACCUUCAGCUAAAGACAAUACAGAAAUAGAAAUACAAAACAUUCCAGUGUGUAUUUACACACACAUGUAUGUAUUUCCUAGCUCUGUCCAUUGUAGCCAAGACGCAAUGACACUGCAGGACAACAGACACACCCAGUCCCCAGAUCUUUACUUCUAAAAACCAUCCUGCAUAAAAAACCAGAGCUCCUGAGAGAAAUGGCGGAUUCUGGGGCACAGGCAGGAGAUGGCUGAGUCUCUGGGAACUUCUUGUUGUGCCAUAAAGUUUGACAGACCAGGAUCUGUCAAAAGAACACAGGCUCCCACUGGCCACACAUGGCACAACGCGAGGCUCAAAAUGACAGUGAUAGAUCACAACCUGUAGACUAUGACAGAAAUCCACAAGACCACACUCAUAGAAAUCAAUAAAUGAGACUAAAAGGAAAGUUCUUCUUUACAGUAUAAUACCAGGUCAUAAACAUGGAAGGAAUGACAGAAAAUCACCAUUUGGCAAUAAUCACUAUAAUAACUGUUUCAGGCAACUUUAGGUAAGUUCAACGAGAAAUAAUAUAUACAAAGUCUCAGUCUCUUUCUACAAAUUAAGUAUUAUAAAUAACUUUACAGGGGAUUAAGGUGGCAGAAGCCACUGAACCAAGUGAUUGAAGUUAGUAUCACCAGUAAAUUAGACAAUUAGCAUUUACCCACUGAAACGAAGUCCUGAGAAGGACACAUCAGGAUCACCUCUGGCGUGUUCCUGCCAAAACUGCAUAGCCCCAAUCUAAUCCAAUCCCGAGGAAAUACCAGACACACGCAAGGGAAAGGACAUUCUACAAAGGAACGGACUCAUACUCUUCAAAAGUGUCAAGGUCAUCUACGACAAAAGACUGAAAGGACCCCAGUCGAAAAAAGACAAGAUGACAAAAUGCAACGUUUCAUCCUAGACUGGAUUCUGGACCCAAAAAAUCCCCUUCUUUUGUCAGAAAGGAAAUUUGUGGAACAACUGGCAAAAUCUGGAGUUGGGUCUGCAGAUUACACACUGGUAUCGCAGCGAUGCUGAUUUCUUGAUUUUGAUAAUUACACUGUGGUUACAUAAGAUAAAGUCCUUGUUUCAAGGCAAAA
This is a long non-coding RNA of Homo sapiens (human), 2233 nucleotides long. RefSeq annotates it as NQO1 divergent transcript. NCBI's taxonomy places the organism in Eukaryota, Metazoa, Chordata, Mammalia, Primates, Hominidae. The record is from RefSeq and is marked validated. The transcript has 2 exons.